UACGUAGGGUGCGAGCGUUGUCCGGAUUUAUUGGGUUUAAAGGGUGCGUAGGCGGCUUUGUAAGUCAGUGGUGAAAUACUCCAGCUUAACUGGAGGGGUGCCAUUGAUACUGCGGAGCUUGAGUACAGAUGAGGUAGGCGGAAUUGACGGUGUAGCGGUGAAAUGCAUAGAUAUCGUCAAGAACACCGAUAGCGAAGGCAGCUUACUGGGCUGUAACUGACGCUGAUGCACGAAAGUGUGGGGAUCAAACAGG
Molecule: ribosomal RNA, 253 nt
Filed under: uncultured bacterium
Lineage: Bacteria
Description: partial 16S ribosomal RNA
Rfam family: Bacterial small subunit ribosomal RNA
Source: RNAcentral